CCGAAUUGAAGGAACAUACAAUAGAUUCCACAAGUACAUGAUAAAGAGGAGAUGAUAAAGUGGAAAUAAUACCCCUACUUACAUGUGUCUUUGGAUACAACAGGUACACGAUAAAUAAAGAUACAGAAGUCAAAAUAAAGAGAAGUUUGAAGGAGCGUAAAAGGAAUCGCAAUGCAGUUUUAUUUGAAUCCAUGUAUGCAUGUACGUGCAUUCUUGUGUUCAGUUAUGACAAAGAGGGUUAGGAGGAACGAGAAGUACCUGCUAUGCUGCUGCAUCUGGCUCUUUUCCUGGCAAGAGAAACAAAUAAAAAAUGAAUAAGGUGCAUAAAUAACAUAGUGCUGCAAUGCUAAAGGAGGAAACCAAAACAAACAUUUACGAAAUUGAUUAUGAUUAUUAGUAACUGAAUACAUUCAGAAAAAAAUAAAAACCAUUCGCAUUAGGGCUUGGCGAUAUAACUGAACCGUUAGGUCGCAAAGAUCAAGCCAUGUCACUAUAAGCAAUGCUGGUAGUGAUAGGGAAAAAAAGAAAUAACAGUUCUGACAGAAUCACUUAUGAUUUGGUUGCACACACAAAGUAGCAAGGAAAAAAAACAGUGCUUAGACAAAUGAAAACUUCAUAAAUCAAACUGCUGAAUGAUUGCAAGGGAGGUGCAUACUUCCUCUUUCUGUUGCCCAUAGCAUUUGUCAUGUCAUCCUUCGGCAUAUUGGUGCUUGGAGUUCCCACACUGUUCAAGAAAGAAAAGGUACAAUUUCAGGUUUCAUUAAGACAGUGCUGACAGAAUCACAGCUGUUACUCUGUUAGAAUCUAUUGAGUCCAAAGUCUAAACAUGUAUAUAUGAAGUCUAAAUAUACAGGAUAUGCAAGUAACAACAAUUAUAAUGGGCAAAUAAACAUUGCACUGCCUGAAUUGCCAUGUCUACAUGGCAUUUAGCAAUGCAAACUGUACAGAAUGGAAAGAAAAUCUGAAGUAAACAAUGAUCAGUCUAUCCAAAUAUAGACUCAAAGAACAAUUUCACAUACAGGCACAACAUCUCGGCCUGGAGAAUGGCGCAACAUCUCUGCCUUGUUUCAGAAUUCAGAAACCAGGUUUGGUGCCUUCCAGCAGUGGGCUACCAUGCACACAGUACGUCCAUACCUAACCAGAUGGGCCAAAUAGAGGCGCAUCACCAAACCAAAUCAAUUUUCAUACUCCGUCCCUCCCAAAUUAUAAACUGUUUCGGUAUUACUAGAUUCAUAAGUUUUGUUACGUACCUAGAUAUACACUGUGCUUAGAUACAUAGUAAAUUCUAUGAAACUAAAAACCGCAAAAUGAUCUACAAUUUGGAACGGAAGAGUAGUAUGCAAGAAAUGUCAAAUGUGCUAUCGACAACCAGGUAAUUUGUUUCUGAAAGAGAGUAGGGUUCAGUUCAGAUAUAAUGCUCUUGGACCAGUGAGCAUCAGCAAGGGGCAAGUUGCCGAUGUCCCAGUCCAAUUCUAUCACACAACUUGCCUACUGGAUCAGCUUAUUUCUUUGUUGGGCAAGCAUAAUUUUCCCCGUAUAAAAAGGCCACACAACCUCAAGAGAAGAUAAUGAGGUAAUACUUGGUGUACAAUACACAUAUAAUUGCUCCGUUCUUCAAUAGACAGUUCAGGUGCAGAACCAGUCCGAAUUUAAGCAAAGACAGUUCAGGUGCAGAACCAGUCCGAAUUUAAGCAGGUUCAGACCAUACUCAGAAAGGUUAUGCUUGAUUAAAAUUCUAUUGAUAAGUAUUUAUACAUUAUAACUGAAGGUAAUACGUUUCCAGAUGGCGUCAAAUUGCUGCUAGUCAAAGCCUCAUAAAAAAGUUUAUUGGCAGAUCUCUUGGACUGUCAUAGUGCAUGCUCCCUGUCCCUGACAUUGUAACCCUGGUGUGAGAUCCUUAAGUAAUCUGUCACUGGAAUCACCAAUCCUAUCCGUAGACAAUUACUUAAACCUAAUUUGAAACAAAUAUUAACUAAAUGGGCCAAAGAAUGUGAAGCUAACUGAAUGCAGUCUGCAGCAGAACUAAGAACAAUGUCAGGGCUGAUUGCUCAUAGGCUGACAGCCACAGCAAAGAAAAAUGUCCCUGCAGAAUGAUCAUGGAACAAAGCUGGGGUUACUUACUAAACACGAAGAACUCUCUCCUUCCAAGCUUCUUGGUUCUUCCGUUCCAAUGCUCUGUGGUACACAUGAAAGCAUCUGAUCAAUUUAUGUGCAUAAUUCAUUUUCCAAUGAACAAGCAUUGGGUUUGCUGGAUGUGGCUCUGAUCAAGUUUCUUCCUUGACAUUUUGUCAAACACAUGGAAUGCACCAGACUUUUAAUUUUAUUGGGUCAAGAUUUUGCAGGGAAAAUUAUUCAAUCAAAGAAACAUUACAAUGGGAAAAUAUGUUGAAUGGGAGAGGAAACAAUAACUUGCAAAUACUGAAUUUCAUGCUAGAGUUGUAAGCCAAUGGCUAGGAAUCAAAUGCAAAUGGCAGUGGUUCAAUUCUAACCAAUUGAAACAUAUGCUUGCGAGGGAACCAACCUUCUUGAAGACAUUGCAAGAGUUGCAGAAGCAUCCCCU
RNAcentral lists this long non-coding RNA (2560 nucleotides) under Setaria italica (foxtail millet). Its description in RNAcentral is "long non-coding RNA (SITA_LNC000929)". The record is from RNAcentral. Lineage: Eukaryota; Viridiplantae; Streptophyta; Magnoliopsida; Poales; Poaceae.